Long non-coding RNA from Anas platyrhynchos (mallard), 1672 nucleotides. RefSeq lists it as uncharacterized. The record is from RefSeq and is a predicted model, not a curated record. Lineage: Eukaryota; Metazoa; Chordata; Aves; Anseriformes; Anatidae.
GGGUUUGAUGGCAUUUUCAGCAUCUAUUAAAAUAGAUUGAAGUGACUCAGAGCCACUCUACUGUAAAAUCUGUGCAGUUUUAAAAAGCAUGGGGCAGCCCUGUGUCCCCAAGUCAGAAAAGAGAACAAAGAACAGCUACAAUAAAUAAUAACCCUGUGAAAAAAAAAAUAAUAAAAAAAUAAUACCAGAAAGACUGAGAGCCUGCCACCAUAAACAUUAUUUUACAGGAAAUGACAGUUCCUUAAAAAUAUUGAGAAUAAUUCUCUGAGGGAAGGAGAAAAACAACAAACCCUUUUCCAUUUUAGAAUUACCCAGUGAUGUCAAGGCUAAACCAUUCCUGUCUUGUGAUCUUGACUAGAUGGUCUCUGAGUAAAAGUUCUUCAGGAAUAUAAAUGUAGCCCUUACUGUAACCCUGGAUUUUGCAGCCCUGGUACAAAUAUGGCUGGUACAGUAUGACUUCUGGUCACAUCAGCAUCUUUUGUGCCUUGUCACAGCAGCUUACUGUGGAUAGGCACAACUGCCCAGAGCUGUUCGUUUGGAGAUUGAACUCUGGCUUGAAGACACUCCUCCUUCCCAUGUGCUACCCAUGUGCCUUAAUGGUUGGCACCUGCACUUAGGUGGGCGUUAGCUGCAAAUCUGCAUUUGAGUACAGAAGAGGGGACACUCAGAGACACCUACCUGAAGCAAACCCUGUCCUGUCCAAUGCAAACGAGCCAGAUCAUGGCAGAGCUGACUGCAUGCUGGAAGUGAACAAAUAACAGCUUAAGUCAGAGCUGACUGCGAACCAAGCCGAAAAACCGACUGGCAUGGCUCCUGGUGUGCAGGCUGCUGCUCUGGCUGCUCCCAGGACUGAGCAUGAGAAGGGCUUCCAGAGCAGGUCCCCAAAGCAGGACUCUCAUAUCGUGAGAAUAACAAAUACAAAACAGCUUGUACUGCCAUGGUUGUCCUGAAAAGGCUUCAGGAAUUUUUCCUGUUUUGAUGGGACUUAAUGCCUUACCUCUUCUUUCUAUAGGAUCAGUGGACACAAUAUAUACUGGACUUCUUUUUUCCCCAACAUUCUUCUUGGCCACUGAGCUCUGAUAACUGCAGCUCGUUUUGCAUAUUGGAUGAAGCAGAGACAAUGUUUUCCCCAAAUUCCCCCGAGUUAUUGCUACAAGAAAAGCGAUGAGGUAAGGUGGAACAAAGCUUUCUGUGGCUGGAGUUUGUUCUUUUAUAAAUGUUUUUUUUUUUUUUUUUUUUUUUUUUUUUUUUUUUUCCCUGUCAUCAGCAAGGCCUCCUCAUCCUCCCCAGUGCUGAAAUGUUUUCACCUGAGGUGUGUGUCACACACCUGGUGGUGAGGGUCUUAGGUCCUGGGAGCUGAAAGGAAGGGAAAAAAGUGCUGCUCAGUGGUGAGAUCACUGCUGACACAUGUGCUGUGCGCAGGACGGUUCUCGGAGCCUGGCAAUUUCCUUUGCUUCGCAGAGGGCAAAAAAACCCUGUGUGGCCCACAAUGUGCUUUCACUAAGUGGUGUGUCCUCAGGGAAGGAGAAGAAGCUCUUCUGCUUUGCCUUGAAAUUGCUUUCCAUGUCACUUGCUAAACAGUUAUCAGUUAAAUAAACUCCUGGCUAUCCUCUAGACAUGAUUCUCUACUGGGAGUCGCUUUAUAUACAUUUCAUUCAACAGAUACUUUUUC